UAGAUGCGAGAGUAGAGCAUAUCAAUAAGCGGAGGAAAAGAAACUAACAAGGAUUCCCUUAGUAACGGCGAGUGAAGCGGGAAGAGCUCAAAUUUGAAAUCUUCAAGGUUCUACCUUGACGAAUUGUAGUUUAUAGAAGUGUUUUCUGUUAGUAGGAGUGGCAAAAGUUCUUUGGAAUAGGACAUCAUAGAGGGUGAGAAUCCCGUAUUUGGUCAUUCCUUCCUAGCGUUGUGAUACACUUUCAACGAGUCGGAUUGUUUGGGAAUGCAGUCCAAAAUGGGUGGUAAAUUUCAUCUAAAGCUAAAUAUUGGCGAGAGACCGAUAGCGAACAAGUACCGUGAGGGAAAGAUGAAAAGAACUUUGAAAAGAGAGUUAAACAGUACGUGAAAUUGUCAAAAGGGAAGCGUUUGACACCAGUGUUGUUUUUCCGAAAAUCAAUUACGAAUGUUUUGUUUUUAAGAAGUUAUGACUUCAUCGGCUUGCUUCUUUCUUUACGAAACUUUCUUAAUGCACUUUUCGGUUAACAAGUCAACAUCAAUUUCUUUUGUUGUAAAAGGGUACGAGGAAGGUGGCUUUCUUUUCGGAGAAAGUGUUUAUAGCCUUGUACCUCUGCAAUCGGAGAGAUUGAGGUCUGCAGCGUAGAUCCUUCGGGGUUAGAUACAGUUUGUGCUAAGUUAUAGCUUUUCAUAGACAACUUGUUGACUAUGUUUAGUCUUGUAGCUUACUCGCUGAUGCUAUUUUACCUACGCUUAGGAUGUUGACACACGCGCGUGCUCG
Molecule: ribosomal RNA, 777 nt
Filed under: uncultured Neocallimastigales
Lineage: Eukaryota; Fungi; Neocallimastigomycota; Neocallimastigomycetes; Neocallimastigales
Description: partial large subunit ribosomal RNA
Rfam family: Eukaryotic large subunit ribosomal RNA
Source: RNAcentral